AUUGAACGCUGGCGGCAUGCCUUACACAUGCAAGUCGAACGGCAGCACGGGUGCUUGCACCUGGUGGCGAGUGGCGAACGGGUGAGUAAUACAUCGGAACAUGUCCUGUAGUGGGGGAUAGCCCGGCGAAAGCCGGAUUAAUACCGCAUACGAUCUACGGAUGAAAGCGGGGGCCCUUCGGGCCUCGCGCUUUAGGGUUGGUCGAUGGCUGAUUAGCUAGUUGGUGGGGUAAAGGCCUACCAAGGCGACGAUCAGUAGCUGGUCUGAGAGGACGACCAGCCACACUGGGACUGAGACACGGCCCAGACUCCUACGGGAGGCAGCAGUGGGGAAUUUUGGACAAUGGGCGAAAGCCUGAUCCAGCAAUGCCGCGUGUGUGAAGAAGGCCUUCGGGUUGUAAAGCACUUUUGUCCGGAAAGAAAUCCUUGGCCCUAAUACGGUCGGGGGAUGACGGUACCGGAAGAAUAAGCGCCGGCUAACUACGUG
This 486-nucleotide ribosomal RNA is filed under the name uncultured bacterium. Its description in RNAcentral is "partial 16S ribosomal RNA". It matches the Rfam family "Bacterial small subunit ribosomal RNA", at positions 30 to 507 of the family's 1533-position model. The record is from RNAcentral.